AGCGUACGUGGCGUGCCGGCUAACCACCGGCGACGACAGCAACGACUCCCGUCGCGCCGUUCGACAGGCACAGCGCAGGUAGGCCAGCGGCAGCCAGGGCCCAGCGCGGGGCGAGCUCGAUCCGCCGGCACCAAUCCAUAUUGCAGCCCAACGGGAGAAAGGUGGGUUGUUGUGGCCCCCUCUCUUUUUGCUUUAUUUUAUCAUCACGUAAAAAUAUGAUAAUUUUUUUAUAAAGUAUCCAUUUUCAAUUCCAUGUGUACUGUUAUCUUUCUUAUGAUAAAUUUAUAAAACAAGAUUCAUAUUGCAUAUAUUUUGAAAUAGUUUUUAUAUACUGGCAACUUAUACUUAAAUGUGUUGAGCUACUAUAUAAAUGUACAUAUAUACAUAAAUUGCUACAAAACUAAUUUUGGCCCUCAUGUUUUUUUUUACCUAUAUGAAGUAUCUAAAUAAUUUUCACAUUAUCUGUACAUAAGUUGCUAGACAUCCUGCACAUAUACAAUUGUCACACAAGUUGUCACACGCAUAAGUUGAUAGUGCUACACACAAGAUGUUGAUUUAGUAUGCAUAAAUCGACAGUGAUCUCUUGAUCACUACAUAAUAUAUGAAUGAAAAAUCUCUAUAACUUGAUGGUUCCACAGCUCGUGCCAUACAAGUUAAUUGUAUAAGUUAGCAUGCAAUCUCCGCAUAAGUUAGUAUAAAUUGUAUACAAGUUGGCAGUACCUCUACACAUAAGUUGUCAACACGAAUAAAAUUACACCAAAAUAUAUGCAAGGGGAUCUAGUUUUGUAGGUCUCGUAAUAAGGAAUACAAUGGUGUAAACAGAAUUAAAAAACAAACUUUAUAUGUGAGAGAAAUGAUAUUUUUAAAUGGGAGGAGCAACUUGUUGGUUCACGUCAGCAUCUUUUUAUUUUCUUUCAACUCUGUUUCGUGGUUACUGCUAGUGGGAUAAUGAUGACAUGCAUGCUUAGAAUACAGGAUAAGUAAUUCCCGUACAGGUCGUGCGAUUGGUUGAACGCGACCUGUCGCGCGUUAGCUUGAUCCAUUCGGAAACGAGGCUGUGGCUUGGGGGCACGUAUCUUGCCUGAUCGGCGAUAGAGAUCCGUUGAUUGCUUGGAGGCGUGACGGAGCUGACGAUUCCUUCCUAUUUCUUGUGUGGGGUAUCUUCGAUGCGCCGUGCUCGUGCAGCGAACAAUUCGGGGGUCCGAGGAAUCCCAUUCCACGCCACGUCCGAUACAUAUCCGUCCUUCAUCCACUUUAUCGGAACCAAUCCAUCUUUGUUUUUUUCCCGAAUCCAAUCCAUCUUUGUUUUAUCCGAAAAUGUCAAAGCUUUUGUUGUGUCAUACCCUUGGUACUAUAUCUCCGGACCUAGAGUUUUGCGUAUUUGCAAUUUGCAAGCACUAGUGUGGAUAGCAUCAUAGCAAUCCAUCGACACAUGGUUUUCGUUGCGUACGGAACCCUCUCUCCCGUCAUCUUGAAAAAGAUGUAUGCGGACAUAUUUUAAAGCGUUGUAAUAUCAAGUUUGUUUUACGAGCUGGCCAGUUCAAAAAAGAAAAUGAUAUGAUGCUAUAUACACGUCGAGUAACUUGAAAACGGAGGUUUUAUUCUAUCAAGGAAUGGCGACUACCUGAUUCCAAUAAGGCAGUCUAGGCCAUAUUCUUUACCUUCAAGUAUCAGAGUUGAGUAUUUCGCAACAAAAAAAAAAAAGAGCUGAGCGACCUAUUUCUAAAUCUACCUCCAAUCUCCAUCUUGAUUCAAAUUUAAGGUCUCCCGUCUCGAUGUUGUACUAUGGGCGGUCUUUUGUUGACGCUUGUUCUUGACAUACUUUUAGUGCCAUUUAAUUAGUAUUUUCAUGCAUAUUCUUGUACUAACCCAUCACUUGGCACCUGAAAUAACCAUGUUUUGACAUGUGCAAGAUAUUUUGGAGGAUAUUCAGUUUUGGUAGGAAAUUAGGCUAAAUAUGCAUUUUUGGAUAGAGCCUCGAACGAGCAGUGGACCAUAGGAAGACGAAAAUUAGGAGGCACAAAAAGGGUCCAGGCUGAUUGGCCUGAGGGCCAAUCGACCUAGGGUCUUUUCACCCCCUCUCGUACUCAUUUUUGGCAAGCAAUCCUCCAAAAUGACUUAAAGGCUAAUUUUCUGAAGAUAUGACAAGGAUCACUUCGGGAUCAAGGAGGAAUCAAAGAAGAUCAAGCGGAGAUUUGGAAAGUUAUUGAAGAUCAAUCUCAUCCCGAAGCUACCGAUGUGCUAGGCCCACAUGCAUACAAAAUAAGGUUCCAGAAUAUUGAAGAAGACUUGAC
RNAcentral lists this long non-coding RNA (2294 nucleotides) under Setaria italica (foxtail millet). Its description in RNAcentral is "long non-coding RNA (SITA_LNC002752)". The record is from RNAcentral. Lineage: Eukaryota; Viridiplantae; Streptophyta; Magnoliopsida; Poales; Poaceae.